GACGAACGCUGGCGGCGCGCCUAACACAUGCAAGUCGAACGAGCGAGAGAGAGCUUGCUUUCUCGAGCGAGUGGCGAACGGGUGAGUAACGCGUGAGGAACCUGCCUCAAAGAGGGGGACAACAGUUGGAAACGACUGCUAAUACCGCAUAAGCCCACGGGUCGGCAUCGACCAGAGGGAAAAGGAGCAAUCCGCUUUGAGAUGGCCUCGCGUCCGAUUAGCUAGUUGGUGAGGUAACGGCCCACCAAGGCGACGAUCGGUAGCCGGACUGAGAGGUUGAACGGCCACAUUGGGACUGAGACACGGCCCAGACUCCUACGGGAGGCAGCAGUGGGGAAUAUUGCACAAUGGGGGAAACCCUGAUGCAGCGACGCCGCGUGGAGGAAGAAGGUCUUCGGAUUGUAAACUCCUGUUGUUGGGGAAGAUAAUGACGGUACC
RNAcentral lists this ribosomal RNA (438 nucleotides) under uncultured bacterium. RNAcentral describes it as "bacterial SSU rRNA". It matches the Rfam family "Bacterial small subunit ribosomal RNA", at positions 28 to 479 of the family's 1533-position model. The record is from RNAcentral.